Molecule: ribosomal RNA, 577 nt
Filed under: Pichia sp. JP39
Lineage: Eukaryota; Fungi; Ascomycota; Pichiomycetes; Pichiales; Pichiaceae
Description: eukaryotic LSU rRNA
Rfam family: Eukaryotic large subunit ribosomal RNA
Source: RNAcentral
AAACCAACAGGGAUUGCCUUAGUAGCGGCGAGUGAAGCGGCAAAAGCUCAAAUUUGAAAUCUGGCGCCUUCGGUGUCCGAGUUGUAAUUUGAAGAUUGUAACCUUGGGGUUGGCUCUUGUCUAUGUUUCUUGGAACAGGACGUCACAGAGGGUGAGAAUCCCGUGCGAUGAGAUGCCCAAUUCUAUGUAAGGUGCUUUCGAAGAGUCGAGUUGUUUGGGAAUGCAGCUCUAAGUGGGUGGUAAAUUCCAUCUAAAGCUAAAUAUUGGCGAGAGACCGAUAGCGAACAAGUACAGUGAUGGAAAGAUGAAAAGAACUUUGAAAAGAGAGUGAAAAAGUACGUGAAAUUGUUGAAAGGGAAGGGUUUGAGAUCAGACUCGAUAUUUUGUGAGCCUUGCCUUCGUGGCGGGGUGACCCGCAGCUUAUCGGGCCAGCAUCGGUUUGGGCGGUAGGAUAAUGGCGUAGGAAUGUGACUUUACUUCGGUGAAGUGUUAUAGCCUGCGUUGAUGUACCCCGUCCCUAGGACGAGGACUGCGAUUUUAUCAAGGAUGCUGGCAUAAUGAUCCCAAACCGCCCGUC